RNAcentral lists this ribosomal RNA (189 nucleotides) under uncultured bacterium. Its description in RNAcentral is "partial 16S ribosomal RNA". It matches the Rfam family "Bacterial small subunit ribosomal RNA", at positions 1312 to 1500 of the family's 1533-position model. The record is from RNAcentral.
UCGCCUGCAUNAAGUCGGAAUUGCUAGUAAUCGCAGAUCAGCAUGCUGCGGUGAAUACGUUCCCGGGCCUUGUACACACCGCCCGUCACACCAUGGGAGUCGGUAACACCCGAAGUCGGUAGCCUAACCGUAAGGAGGGCGCCGCCGAAGGUGGGAUUGAUGACUGGGGUGAAGUCGUAACAAGGUAAC